UUCAGCCGAGGGUAAGUCGGUCCUAAGACGUACCUUAAUCGGAGUACGCCAAAUGGGAAACAGGUUAAUAUUCCUGUACCUUUCAGCAUUAAAACCAACACUUCCGGAUAUGUCAGGCAUUCUUGCCUGGAUGUUCAAGCGUCUCAAAUCUGCGGAGAGCCGUAAUGGCGAGAAACAGAUUAAAGCGUGAUGACGUAAGCUGGCAAAUUCCAGGAGUCCGUGAAAAGGGAGCUGAGAGUCCGUACCGAGAUCCAACACUGGUGCCCCAAGCUGAGAAGGCUAAGGCGUGUCGGCAUAUGCUAGCUAAGGGAAUUCGGCAAAAUAGCCACGUAACUUCGGGAUAAGUGGUGCCUGCUUUGCAAAAAGCAGGUCGCAGCGACGAGGGGACUCUAACUGUCUAAUAACAACACAGGUGAUUGCGAAUCCGUAAGGACUAGUACAAUCACUGAAUCCUGCCCAGUGCAGGUACCUGAAAACCCGGUUCAACGGGAAGAAGGGCCUGUCAACGGCGGGGGUAACUAUGACCCUCUUAAGGUAGCGUAGUACCUUGCCGCUUAAUUGGCGGCUUGCAUGAAUGGAUCAAUGAGAGUCCCACUGUCCCUAGCUGGUACCCGGUGAACCUUACGUUCCAGUGCAGAGUCUGGAGACCCCUAAUGGGAAGUGAAGACCCCGUGGAGCUUUACUGCAGCCUGCCGUUGGGUUGUGGUUUUGAUUGUAGAGCAUAGGUAGGAGACGUCGAAGCUCGGGCGCCAGUCCGAGUGGAGUCGCCCUUGGAAUACUACCCUUUCGAAGCUACCGCCCUAACUCUGAGAAGAGGACCUCGGUAGGUGGGCAGUUUGGGUGGGGCGCCACGCCCUUGAAAAGAUAUCAAGGGCGCCCUAAGGUUGACUCAGUUGGGUCGGAAACCCAACAAAGAGUGUAAAGGCAUAAGUCAGCCUGAUGUUACCUCGCAUAGCAAGAGGUGAUAAGACGAAAGUCAGGCAUAGCGAACCUCUCAGCUCUCUUGGUGUGAGCGUUAGAUGACAGAAAAGCUACCCCGGGGAUAACAGAGUCGUCACCGGCAAGAGCACAUAUCGACCCGGUGGCUUGCUACCUCGAUGUCGGUUCUUUCCAUCCUGGCCGUGCAGCAGCGGCCAAGGGUGAGGUUGUUCGCCUAUUAAAGGAGAUCGUGAGCUGGGUUUAGACCGUCGUGAGACAGGUCGGUUACUAUCUGUUAGGGGUGUAUUGCGGUCUGAGGGCAGGUUGGUUUUAGUACGAGAGGAACAAGCCAACGGCACCUCCG
This 1282-nucleotide ribosomal RNA is filed under the name metagenome. RNAcentral's name for it is "bacterial LSU rRNA". It matches the Rfam family "Archaeal large subunit ribosomal RNA", at positions 1456 to 2781 of the family's 2987-position model. The record is from RNAcentral.